AUUGAACGCUGGCGGCAUGCUUUACACAUGCAAGUCGAACGGUAACAGGCCUUCGGGUGCUGACGUGUGGCGAACGGGUGAGUAUUGCAUCGGAACGUACCCCGAGGUGGGGGAUAACGCAGCGAAAGCUGUGCUAAUACCCCUUGUGAUCCGAGGAUGAAAGCGGGGGACCGAGCCGCACCGUUUGCCCUCGCGCCUUUGGAGCUGCCGAUGUCGGAUUAGCUAGUUGGUGGGGUAAAGGCCUACCAAGGCGACGAUCCGUAGCUGGUCUGAGAGGACGAUCAGCCACACUGGGACUGAGACACGGCCCAGACUCCUACGGGAGGCAGCAGUGGGGAAUUUUGGACAAUGGGCGAAAGCCUGAUCCAGCAAUGCCGCGUGAGGGAAGAAGGUCUUCGGGUAGUAAAACUCUUUAGGCAGGAAGGAAGCGGGGUAAGCUAAUACCGGGCUGUAUUGACGGUACCGUCAGAAUAAGCACCGGCUAACUACGUG
This 492-nucleotide ribosomal RNA is filed under the name uncultured bacterium. RNAcentral describes it as "partial 16S ribosomal RNA". It matches the Rfam family "Bacterial small subunit ribosomal RNA", at positions 30 to 507 of the family's 1533-position model. The record is from RNAcentral.